Molecule: small nuclear RNA, 24 nt
Filed under: Arabidopsis thaliana (thale cress)
Lineage: Eukaryota; Viridiplantae; Streptophyta; Magnoliopsida; Brassicales; Brassicaceae
Description: snRNA_12123
Source: RNAcentral
CUCCUUUGGACAUUUCUUUUCUUA